This 777-nucleotide ribosomal RNA is filed under the name uncultured Neocallimastigales. RNAcentral describes it as "partial large subunit ribosomal RNA". It matches the Rfam family "Eukaryotic large subunit ribosomal RNA", at positions 22 to 645 of the family's 3401-position model. Lineage: Eukaryota; Fungi; Neocallimastigomycota; Neocallimastigomycetes; Neocallimastigales. The record is from RNAcentral.
AUAUCAGUCAUGCAUAGCAUAUCAAUAAGCGGAGGAAAAGAAACUAACAAGGAUUCCCUUAGUAACGGCGAGUGAAGCGGGAAGAGCUCAAAUCUGAAAUCUUCAAGGUUCUACCUUGACGAAUUGUAGUUUAUAGAAGUGUUUUCUGUUAGUGGAGUGGCAAAAGUUCUUUGGAAUAGGACAUCAUAGAGGGUGAGAAUCCCGUAUUUGGUCAUUCCUCCUAGCGUUGUGAUACACUUUCAACGAGUCGGAUUGUUUGGGAAUGCAGUCCAAAAUGGGUGGUAAAUUUCAUCUAAAGCUAAAUAUUGGCGAGAGACCGAUAGCGAACAAGUACCGUGAGGGAAAGAUGAAAAGAACUUUGAAAAGAGAGUUAAACAGUACGUGAAAUUGUCAAAAGGGAAGCGUUUGACACCAGUGUUGUUUUUCCGAAAAUCAAUUACGAAUGUUUUGUUUUUGAGGAGUUAUGACUUCAUCGGCUUGCUCCUUUCUUUAUGAAACUUUCUUAAUGCACUUUUCGGUUAACAAGUCAACAUCAAUUUCUUUUGUUGUAAAAGGGUAUGAGGAAGGUGGCUUUCUCUUCGGAGAAAGGUGUUUAUAGCCUUGUGCCUCUGCAAUCGGAGAGAUUGAGGUCUGCAGCGUAGAUCCUUCGGGGUUAGAUGCAUUUGUGCUAAGUUAUAGCCUUUCAUAGACAACAUUGUUGACUAUGCUUAAGUCAUUGUAGCUUACUCGCUUAUGCUAUUUUACCUACGCUUAGGAUGUUGAUGUGAUACUGCGAGC